AACUGAUACUACCUGCGGGAACCUGCGGAGGGAUCAUUACCGAGUCUUUGUACUCAAACAACCCUUCUAUGGACCUGAAGAAAACCGUUGCCUCGGCGGGCGGCCCCUACCUAUGGGCCGGACAGCGCGGCUGCUUUUUAAGACGCGCCGAUGCCGACGCCGGCCGCUGGCCCCAACAAAAACUCUAAUAACUAUUACCUUCUGAGUUUUAAAGCAAGAAAUAAAGUCAAAACUUUCAAC
RNAcentral lists this unclassified non-coding RNA (240 nucleotides) under soil metagenome. RNAcentral describes it as "partial contains 5.8S ribosomal RNA, internal transcribed spacer 2, and large subunit ribosomal RNA". The record is from RNAcentral.